RNAcentral lists this ribosomal RNA (253 nucleotides) under uncultured bacterium. Its description in RNAcentral is "partial 16S ribosomal RNA". It matches the Rfam family "Bacterial small subunit ribosomal RNA", at positions 524 to 776 of the family's 1533-position model. The record is from RNAcentral.
UACAGAGGCCUCGAGCGUUAGGCGGAAUCACUGGGCUUAAAGCGUGUGUAGGCGGACUUCUAAGUACCUUGUGAAAUCCCACGGCUCACCCGUGGAACUGCUUGGUAUACUGGUUGCCUUGAGCCUUCUAGGGGCGAGUGGAACAAAUGGUGGAGCGGUGAAAUGCGUAGAUAUCAUUUGGAACGCCAAUGGUGAAAACAACUCGCUGGGGAAGUGCUGACGCUGAGACACGAAGGCCAGGGGAGCGAACGGG